CCCGGCUUUUCUAGAGAGGGCAGUAUCUGUCCCUAAUUCAUUGGCAUAACCUCUAAACAACGGUAGGCGGGGGACACGCCCAGUAAAAAUCAAAGGAUGGCGGGGCCCGCACAAGCGGUGGAGCAUUGUGCUUAUUCGAGGCAACGGGAAGACCUUACCUGGGCUUGAAAUAAACCGGACCGCCUGGUGAAAGCUGUUUCUCUUCGGAGCUGGUAUACAGGUGCUGCAUGGCUGUCGUCAGCUCGUGCCGUGAGGUGUUCGGUUAAGUCCGGCAACGAGCGCAACCCGUGUCAAUAGUUACCAUCAGGUAAAGCUGGGGACUCUAUUGAGACUGCCCGUGUUAAGCGGGAGGAAGGCGCGGAUGACGUCAAGUCAGUAUGGCCCUUACGCCCAGGGCUGCACACGUGCUACAAUGGGGGGUACAAUGAGACGCAAAAUCGCGAGAUGGAGCAAAUCUACAAAACCUCUCUUAGUUCAGUUGUAGUCUGCAACUCGACUACAUGAAGUUGGAAUCGCUAGUAAAGGCGUAUCAGCUACGACGCCUUGAAUACGUUCCCGGGCCUUGUACACACCGCCCGUCACAUCAUGGGAGUUGAUUGCACCCGAAAUCGUUGAUCCAACCCGCAAGGGAGGAAGGCGCCUAAGGUGUGGUCGAUGACUGGGAUGAAGUCGUAACAAGGUAGCCGUAGGGGAACCUGCGGCUGGAUCACCUCCUGUCUAAUCUAGAUGCAUCGCGAGGUGACUGGCUCGAAUCACGGCGCGUACA
This 766-nucleotide ribosomal RNA is filed under the name uncultured bacterium. Its description in RNAcentral is "bacterial SSU rRNA". The stretch from base 33 to 717 matches the Rfam family "Bacterial small subunit ribosomal RNA". The record is from RNAcentral.